This 497-nucleotide ribosomal RNA is filed under the name uncultured bacterium. RNAcentral describes it as "partial 16S ribosomal RNA". It matches the Rfam family "Bacterial small subunit ribosomal RNA", at positions 28 to 506 of the family's 1533-position model. The record is from RNAcentral.
GAUGAACGCUGGCGGCGUGCCUAAUACAUGCAAGUCGAGCGAACAGACGAGGAGCUUGCUCCUCUGACGUUAGCGGCGGACGGGUGAGUAACACGUGGAUAACCUACCUAUAAGACUGGGAUAACUUCGGGAAACCGGAGCUAAUACCGGAUAAUAUAUUGAACCGCAUGGUUCAAUAGUGAAAGACGGUUUUGCCGUCACUUAUAGAUGGAUCCGCGCCGCAUUAGCUAGUUGGUAAGGUAACGGCUUACCAAGGCAACGAUGCGUAGCCGACCUGAGAGGGGUGUGGGCCAACAGGGAAGCGAAGACCGGGCCCAGCCCCAAAGGGGGGGAAGAAUGGGGAAUUCUUCAGAAAGGGGGAAAGCCCUGAGGGGCCACCGCGGGGGGGGUAAGAAAGGUCUUGGGAUCUAAAACCUUUUUUAUAGGGGAAAAAAAAAGGUGAAGGUAACAAUCCACGUUUGAAGGGACCUAAAACAAAAACCCCCGCUUAACUACGU